This 74-nucleotide transfer RNA is filed under the name Datnioides polota (four-banded tigerfish). RNAcentral describes it as "tRNA-Leu". It matches the Rfam family "tRNA". From Rfam's summary of the family: Transfer RNA (tRNA) molecules are approximately 80 nucleotides in length. The record is from RNAcentral. RNAcentral also lists the same sequence under 3 other names. Lineage: Eukaryota; Metazoa; Chordata; Actinopteri; Lobotiformes; Datnioididae.
GUUGAGGUGGCAGAGCUCGGCAAAUGCAAAAGGCCUAAGCCCUUUUUACAGAGGUUCAAUUCCCCUCCUCAACU